AGAAAAUAUAGAAUAAGUGAGUUCGUUUGAUAAUUAAAAAGAAGUGAUUGGGGAAACUGGUUAGAUUCCAGUACAGUGCCGCUACGGUAAGCCUCGACUUUAUGUCGUGGACAAGUCCGACUACCAAUCAUUUUAUUAGUCCCGAG
Molecule: non-coding RNA, 146 nt
Filed under: Candidatus Parcubacteria bacterium
Lineage: Bacteria; Candidatus Parcubacteria
Source: RNAcentral